GUCUUAUUGAAUAAAUAAUAAGUCUAUUCUGCCCAUUGAAAAUAAUUAAAAGGCUGCGGUAUAUUAACUGUACGAAGGUAGCAAAAUAAAUAGUUUUUUAAUUGAAAACUUGUAUGAAAGAGUAAAUAAGAUAUAAAUUGUCUCAAUUUAAUUAAAUUAAAUUUGAAUUAAAAGUUAAAAUGCUUUUAUUAUUUUAUUAGACGAUAAGACCCUAAGAAUUUAAUUAUAAAUUUUUUAAUGUUAUGUGAAAAAAUUAAUAUUAAAAUUUUAAUAAUUUUAUUGGGAGGGUAAUUAAAUUUUUGAACUUUAAUUAAUAAUAAAUAUUUAUAAAUAAAAUUUUAAUGAUUAAUAUAAGGAUUAUAAGAAUAAAUUACCUUAGGGAUAACAGCGUAAUAAUUUUGGAGAGUUCAUAUUGAUAGAAUUGUUUGCGACCUCGAUGUUGAAUUAAAAUAAAAAUUAAAUGAAGAUAUUUAAAUUUUUAGUCUGUUCGACUAUUAAAAUUUUACAU
This 508-nucleotide ribosomal RNA is filed under the name Epipona media. RNAcentral describes it as "partial 16S ribosomal RNA". The stretch from base 381 to 508 matches the Rfam family "Bacterial large subunit ribosomal RNA", at positions 2473 to 2601 of the family's 2925-position model. The record is from RNAcentral. Lineage: Eukaryota; Metazoa; Arthropoda; Insecta; Hymenoptera; Vespidae.